CUGCUAUCGAGGUUCGACUAAGCCAUGCGAGUCGAAUGUAGCAAUACAUGGCGAACUGCUCAGUAACACGUGGACAACCUGCCCUUUAGGUUGGGUAUAAACCCGGGAAACUGGGUAUAAUACCCGAUAGGUCUCGAUUGCUGGAAUGCAUCGAGAUUUAAAGCUCCGGCGCCUAAGGAUGGGUCUGCGGCCUAUCAGGUAGUAGUGGGUGUAGCGUACCUACUAGCCUACGACGGGUACGGGUUGUGAGAGCAAGAGCCCGGAGAUGGAUUCUGAGACACGAAUCCAGGCCCUACGGGGUGCAGCAGGCGCGAAAACUUUACAAUGCUGGCAACAGCGAUAAGGGAACCUCGAGUGCCAGGUUACAAAUCUGGCUGUCGAGAUGCCUAAAAAGCAUUUCAUAGCAAGGGCCGGGCAAGACCGGUGCCAGCCGCCGCGGUAACACCGGCGGCUCGAGUGGUAACCGUUAUUAUUGGGUCUAAAGGGUCUGUAGCCGGCCGGAUAAGUCUCUUGAGAAAUCUGGCAGCUUAACUGUCAGGCUUUCAGGAGAUACUGUCUGGCUCGAGGCCGGGAGAGGUGAGAGGUACUUCAGGGGUAGGGGUGAAAUCUUGUAAUCCUUGAAGGACCACCAGUGGCGAAGGCGUCUCACCAGAACGGACCUGACGGCAAGGGACGAAAGCUAGGGGCACGAACCGGAUUAGAUACCCGGGUAGUCCUAGCCGUAGACGAUACUCGCUAGGUGUCGGCCACGGUGCGACCGUUGUCGGUGCCGUAGGGAAGCCGUGAAGCGAGCCACCUGGGAAGUACGGCCGCAAGGCUGAAACUUAAAGGAAUUGGCGGGGGAGCACCACAACGGGUGGAG
Molecule: ribosomal RNA, 862 nt
Filed under: uncultured archaeon
Lineage: Archaea
Description: bacterial SSU rRNA
Rfam family: Archaeal small subunit ribosomal RNA
Source: RNAcentral